UGGGGAAUUUUGGACAAUGGGCGAAAGCCUGAUCCAGCCAUGCCGCGUGAGUGAAGAAGGCCUUCGGGUUGUAAAGCUCUUUUAGUCGGAAAGAAAGAGUCGCAAUGAAUAAUUGUGAUUUAUGACGGUACCGACAGAAAAAGCACCGGCUAACUACGUGCCAGCAGCCGCGGUAAUACGUAGGGUGCGAGCGUUAAUCGGAAUUACUGGGCGUAAAGGGUGCGCAGGCGGUUUUGCAAGUCAGAUGUGAAAGCCCCGGGCUUAACCUGGGAAUUGCGUUUGAAACUACAAGGCUAGAGUGCAGCAGAGGGGAGUGGAAUUCCAUGUGUAGCAGUGAAAUGCGUAGAGAUGUGGAAGAACACCGAUGGCGAAGGCAGCCUCCGUGGGUUGACACUGACGCUC
This 402-nucleotide ribosomal RNA is filed under the name uncultured bacterium. Its description in RNAcentral is "bacterial SSU rRNA". It matches the Rfam family "Bacterial small subunit ribosomal RNA", at positions 355 to 748 of the family's 1533-position model. The record is from RNAcentral.